This 253-nucleotide ribosomal RNA is filed under the name uncultured bacterium. RNAcentral's name for it is "partial 16S ribosomal RNA". It matches the Rfam family "Bacterial small subunit ribosomal RNA", at positions 524 to 776 of the family's 1533-position model. The record is from RNAcentral.
GACGAACCGUGCGAACGUUAUUCGGAAUCACUGGGCUUAAAGGGCGCGUAGGCGGGCUGCCAAGUCAGGGGUGAAAGCCUCCGGCUCAACCGGAGAAGUGCCUUUGAUACUGGCGGCCUAGAGGGAGGUAGGGGCCUGCGGAACUUCCGGUGGAGCGGUGAAAUGCGUAGAUAUCGGAAGGAACGCCGGUGGCGAAAGCGGCGGGCUGGACCUCUUCUGACGCUGAGGCGCGAAAGCCAGGGGAGCAAACGGG